RNAcentral lists this ribosomal RNA (427 nucleotides) under uncultured Candidatus Protochlamydia sp. Its description in RNAcentral is "bacterial SSU rRNA". It matches the Rfam family "Bacterial small subunit ribosomal RNA", at positions 355 to 774 of the family's 1533-position model. Lineage: Bacteria; Pseudomonadati; Chlamydiota; Chlamydiia; Parachlamydiales; Parachlamydiaceae. The record is from RNAcentral.
UCGAGAAUCAUUCGCAAUGGGCGAAAGCCUGACGAUGCGACGCCGUGUGAGCGAUGAAGGCCUUCGGGUUGUAAAGCUCUUUCGCUUGGGAACAAGAGAGGUUUAUUAAUAAUAAGCCAAUUUGAGGGUACCAGGUAAAGAAGCACCGGCUAACUCCGUGCCAGCAGCUGCGGUAAUACGGAGGGUGCAAGCAUUAAUCGGAUUUAUUGGGCGUAAAGGGCGCGUAGGCGGAAACGUAAGUCAGAUGUUAAAUCUCGGGGCUCAACCUCGAACAGGCAUUUGAUACUGCGAUUCUAGAGGGUAGACGGAGAAAAUAGAAUUCCACAAGUAGCGGUGAAAUGCGUAGAUAUGUGGAGGAAUACCGGUGGCGAAGGCGGUUUUCUAGUUUAUACCUGACGCUGAGGCGCGAAAGCAAGGGGAGCAAACA